GCUUGUCACUUGGCUUUAUUUUCAUAAUUUUUUUUUGACAUUUCAGUUCGACAGACAGUUCUGCAAAAACCAAAUCACGAGUUAGUCUUGCCAGGAAAAGGGACGUACCAGUUAACAGUCCAGCUGCCCACCACUCCGGAUGAAGUCCCAGAUUCUAAGGAGAAAAUUCCAACACGUUUUGAAUCCAAGACCAAAGAAGAUGUCAAAGAACCAGGUGUGUCAGAAGAGGUGGAAGAUAUCCCAAGAGAAUGUGAAAAUGUUCCCAGUUUGGUGGCAUUUGAAAACAUCCACACGAAUGUGACUGACAUGAUGUUAACCUUGUUAGUGGAGAACGUAACUGGCCUGACCAGUGAUGACUUUGAAGUGGAAAUAAUACGAGAUGUUGCUGUUGCUGUGGUUGCCUUUAAAAAGCACACAGACACUACGAAAUUUGUUUCUGACUGUGCCACUCACAAUUUGAGUGAACGACUUCAGUUGUCUCCAAGACUUCUAGAAGAAACAAAAACAGUCCGGGUUGAAAACCUGCCCCCUGGUGUUGACGACUACCAGCUACAACUUUUCUUUGAAAAUCCUUUGCAUGGAGGAGGAAGAGUGGCCCACAUUGAGUGUUUUCCUGAAGAGAGUUCAGCUCUGGUUGAAUUUUGUGACAGAAAAGUGUUAGACACCAUCCUGACCAAGAAACACAACUUCAAUAAGAUGCCGCUCUCUGUCUUCCCCUACUAUCACUCUUUGGGGACAGCCUUGUACGGAAAGGAACAGCCUCUCAUCAAGCUGCCAGCACCAUUUCAAGAGUCGUUGGUGCUGCCUUUGUGGAACUUCUUGCAGAAAAAGACCCAUCUGAGAAAAGAGCUGGAUGAUGAAAUGGCACAGCAUCACUGUUUGCUAACAUGGUCCCAAGUGGACAAUAAAGUUACCAUCAGACCUGCAGCCACCUUAGUCAAUCAAGGAAGACCCAAAAUCAAGACAUGGCAGACAGAUGCUUCGUCAGCACUCUCUGGCAUCAGGUCUAAAUAUACAGUCACUUCACUUAACGUGACUGCAAGAGUGUGGAACGUCAUAAAAAACGACUUAGAAGAUGAUAGGAUUUUGAUCGAGUUUGAUACCUCUAAGGAGAUUGUAACCUUAACAGGAAAAUCAGACGAUAUCCAAAAUGUUAGUCCACAAUUCAAGGAAUUAAUAGAAAAGACUACUCAAAAAAUUCAAAAGGAAGAGCAAAGUCUGAAGGAAAAAGUGGCCAUUUCUUCAGCACAGUAUUUUCUUUUGCACCACAGUGGUGUUCUGGAGUGUAUGUGCACAGAAUGCCCAGACAUGGAGGUUCGUUAUGAUGCGAAUGCUCAGAACCUGUGCCUUAAAGGACCCCACAUCGAUGUGUACAAAGCGAAGUGUGAAAUUCAGGAAAAAGUGUACACUAUGGCUCAGAAAAGCAUUGAGGUCUCUCCUGAGGUCUUCCAGUUUUUACUGCAAGUAAACUCAAAAAAAUUCUCUGAGUCCUUUUUUAUAGCACAAAAGAAUCUUACAGUUUAUGAACUCAAGGGUACCACUGUCCUCCUAACCAGCUGUUCUUCUGAAGUCCUGGCAGAAGCUGAAAAACAAAUGCUCAGUGCCUUAGAUUGUAAACACAUUGACGUUGAGGGCAAGGAAAUUCUUACUACUGGCAAAUGGGAACAGUUUAUUGCCAAUGUCCAAAAAAAGUUUUAUGCUUCCACAGACAUUAUCGUAAUCAAUAAAUCCACUGCAGGCAGCCCAGGUGAAGUCAUUGUGGCAGGUCUUGCAAAAGAAGUAAGUGAAGUUGUCCGCUUGGUUCUUGAAUUCUUGAAAAAACACAUGAAAAUAGAGAGGUUGGUUGAAGUAGAGACAUCCUUGAUUGUAGACUACUUAAAAAAAGACAAGAAGCUCCUCGGGUCAAAAAUAAAUAAGGGAGAUAUGCAGAUACUUUUCAAUCCAGAGAACAAA
This is a long non-coding RNA of Cavia porcellus (domestic guinea pig), 1953 nucleotides long. The record is from Ensembl. NCBI's taxonomy places the organism in Eukaryota, Metazoa, Chordata, Mammalia, Rodentia, Caviidae.